GGAUUAUGUACAUUGUGUUUUCUUUAAAAUUUUUGACUGUGAAGGAGCUAAGUACAGAGAGACAUUUCAUUAUAUGGGCUGCUAAGCUGAACCUGCACAUAUGUUCUAAAGGUAUCUUGACUUCAGAAUUUGGAUCUAAGGAUAUGAUGCUUUGGAGAGGGUCUUCUUUUGUUUUUGCAGAGGAUGAGACCCUGUGGAUUGCAUCUAUUCCGAUUUGGUAUGAUAGACCACGCCCUCCUGAAAGGUUGCUGUGAAUACCCUCAAAAAAUUGCUUCGCUCAAUUGCCAACUGAGAUGAAACUAGCAUACAGGUUAUAUCAUGAACAACCUAAUUAACGACGCCCCUAUUCAGCAGGAAGCAGUUUGUAGAGAAAAAACUACGCCCAUGUUCCCAAAUAUUGUUUAUAAAUGUUCUUUUACAUUUAAAGGGGGAUAUGAUAUAGAUAUGAAUAAUUUGCAUUGGUAUGGAUUUUAUGGUCAAUUUUGUUAUAUGUAUAUGUAUUUUUGAUCUUGAUUAAGGUAUUGUGAUUGUGUAGUUCAUUUAAAAAUGUAAUGUAUAAUUAGGAAAUAUAGGUUGUUAAUGGAUAAUCAUCGCUAAUACUUAAGCUUGUAGUCAUGUUAGUUAGAUUUUCUAGAUAUAUAGAGAGAUAUUUUAGUUAGAUAGGCAUUCUUCAUAUCUUUCAAAGGCUGCAGAAUAUGGCAUUUAAGAUAUUUUAAUAACUUAGGGUUUUUCAUGACAAUGAGACACAUUUGCUCCUGGCAGCACCAAUCUAUUUCAAGAGGAAGAUGGGCAUCGAAGAGAAUCCUUAUGGAGUUUGAUAGCCAUUUGGGCAAGAAACUGCUCUUGCCUGGACUGUUGCAUAAACUGGACACAGAGAACCCGCAGAGAGAGGACUGCUGAACUUGCCUAAAGGUGAGAUGACCUUUUGGGGUUCCUGCUUCAUGAAAGAGUCUGUGAGACAUUCUGCAGGACACAGCAAAAAGUGACUGAACUGUCUUUGGAAUUUCUUGCUUGAUGAGAAUGUCUGCUGGAUACUAUGGGCCUGUAGGCCGAAGAUGGAUGCCCCAACGGUACAGAGGAACUUUGGGUGACUGUCCAGGCAGCGAGAUGUCUCUGUCAUUUCUAGAGUUUUCUUAUUUCUUGUUUGAUAGGUAAUAUUAUAUCCUUCUGGAGUCUUUGAUGGAGUUGAAGAAUGGUUAGUUAUAGUUUUCCUUAGUUAUGAUAAGAGAUAAAAUAGAUAUAAAUAUUGUAACUGUAAUUCUUACUUGAUAACUGUUUUGUUAUAUGUAAUUUUACUAUGUUAAAGUUAAAGCCUUUCUUUUUUGUUUAAACAGAAAAAGGGGAAAUGAUGUGGGAGUGAUUUCUUAUUAAUAAAGAAACUGCCUUGGCCCAUUUUAUUGGAUAGAAAAUUAGGUAGGCGGAGUAGACAGAGGAGAAUGCUGGGAAAAAGAAGCUGUGUGAGGAGUCGCCAUGGUUCUCCCGCUCCAGACAGACGCAGGUUAAGAUCCUCCCUGGUAAGCCAGCUCGUGGGCUACACAGAAUAUUAGAAAUGGGUUAGAACAAUAUGUAAGAGCUAGCCAUAAGGAACUGGAACUAUCCGGGCCAGGCAGUGUUUGAAAGAA
Long non-coding RNA from Alexandromys fortis (reed vole), 1622 nucleotides. RefSeq lists it as uncharacterized. The record is from RefSeq and is a predicted model, not a curated record. The transcript has 2 exons. Lineage: Eukaryota; Metazoa; Chordata; Mammalia; Rodentia; Cricetidae.